AAAGUGCGAUAAGCACUGUGACCUGCAGAAUUCAGCGAAUCAGCAGAUUUCUCAACGCAAAAGGUGCUAGGUAGACUUGUCUGCCUGGCAGGCACAUUUCAACGUCGAUAAAAUAUGCAGCCAUGAGAAUCUAAGGAUCUUCGAUCCAGCACUUCACUUGGCUUGCAUUUUUGUCACUCGCGGCAACGCGACGUGAUGGAUGACCUGCUACGUAAAUUGGCGGGUGGAUAUAACCCAGCGUUACUUCAACGUGAUUAACGCAGAUGGGCAACAACCCUUAACGACUUGAAUUGUGUCAGGCUACCCGCUGAAUUUAA
RNAcentral lists this unclassified non-coding RNA (317 nucleotides) under uncultured fungus. RNAcentral describes it as "sequence contains ITS1". The stretch from base 1 to 107 matches the Rfam family "5.8S ribosomal RNA", at positions 50 to 154 of the family's 154-position model. Lineage: Eukaryota; Fungi. The record is from RNAcentral.